RNAcentral lists this ribosomal RNA (522 nucleotides) under uncultured bacterium. Its description in RNAcentral is "bacterial SSU rRNA". It matches the Rfam family "Bacterial small subunit ribosomal RNA", at positions 777 to 1297 of the family's 1533-position model. The record is from RNAcentral.
AAUAGAUACCCCGGUAGUCCAUGCCGUAAACGUUGGGAACUAGAUGUGGGGACCAUUCCACGGUCUCCGUGUCGCAGCUAACGCAUUAAGUUCCCCGCCUGGGGAGUACGGCCGCAAGGCUAAAACUCAAAGGAAUUGACGGGGGCCCGCACAAGCGGCGGAGCAUGCGGAUUAAUUCGAUGCAACGCGAAGAACCUUACCAAGGCUUGACAUAUACGAGAACGCUGCAGAAAUGUAGAACUCUUUGGACACUCGUAUACAGGUGGUGCAUGGUUGUCGUCAGCUCGUGUCGUGAGAUGUUGGGUUAAGUCCCGCAACGAGCGCAACCCUCGUCGUAUGUUGCCAGCACGUAAUGGUGGGAACUCAUAUGAGACUGCCGGGGUCAACUCGGAGGAAGGUGGGGAUGAGGUCAAAUCAUCAUGCCCCUUAUGUCUUGGGCUUCACGCAUGCUACAAUGGCCGGUACAAAGGGCUGCAAUACCGCAAGGUGGAGCGAAUCCCAAAAAGCCGGUCUCAGUUCGGA